AUAAAGAUUAAUGAAUCCUUGUAAGAGCUUUUCCUUUCUACAUAUUUCUCUUAAGCAAGUGUCAGCAUUAGCUAUUCAGUGAUCAUUGAUGGACAUAUUCACGGAUAGUCAGUUAGACUUCAGUUACUGCUACAUCAGUGUCAUUAAUUCUGCCCCAUAUGGUCUCAGCUUUCUAAAAGGAAACUAUAUUGACUUAAACAGAUGCCAGUUUUACCCAUCCUACCAGCACCCUGGUCCUGGAGAUCUAAGAAUUUCUCAUAUUUCAAGGAAGGAUAAAUGUGUAUCUAAUUAGAUUUUGGCUUGAAUUUUA
This is a long non-coding RNA of Pipistrellus kuhlii (Kuhl's pipistrelle), 310 nucleotides long. RefSeq lists it as uncharacterized. NCBI's taxonomy places the organism in Eukaryota, Metazoa, Chordata, Mammalia, Chiroptera, Vespertilionidae. The transcript is spliced from 2 exons. The record is from RefSeq and is a predicted model, not a curated record.